GGGGGCGAAUGGAUUCGACGGGGUUCACUGAACCGAUGAUUGCGUGCCGAGGUGCCCGGCCUCGUUAAAAAGGGCAACACAACAACUGCCAACGACGAGUUGGCCCUGGCCGCCUAAAUAGGCCAGCGGUGGCUCCUUCCGUGUCCGCGGGGGGGGAUGCCACCGUCAUUUUCGCGGACUCGCUGCUUCCGGGCGCCUCGGCCGGAGCGGUCAAAAUGCACCGAGGCUGGCGUCGCCCGGAUCCCGUCCGUCGGAGCCGGUCGAAGUGAGAUUCAAAAGGCGGAAAGCGCACGGAUGAAUUGUCGGAGACGGUUCUUCGGACGCGGGUUCGAUUCCCGCCGCCUCCACCA
This 350-nucleotide transfer-messenger RNA is filed under the name bacterium. RNAcentral describes it as "g UBA4427 X1 Standard tmRNA". It matches the Rfam family "transfer-messenger RNA". Rfam says of the family: Bacterial tmRNA, also known as 10Sa RNA or SsrA, is named for its dual tRNA and mRNA-like properties. Its role is to liberate the mRNA from a stalled ribosome. RNAcentral also lists the same sequence under 2 other names. The record is from RNAcentral.